Molecule: ribosomal RNA, 1428 nt
Filed under: Triticum aestivum (bread wheat)
Lineage: Eukaryota; Viridiplantae; Streptophyta; Magnoliopsida; Poales; Poaceae
Description: partial small subunit ribosomal RNA
Source: RNAcentral
AUGAAAGUCACGAAAACAAAAGACAGAGAGACAGACAAGAGUCGCACACCAGAGAGCACGGAGGGAGAAGACCGACAGCGGCAGUGGCUAGCUAGCCAGGGAAGGCGAGCCAUGGCGAGCGGGCCGAACGGGGGAGGCAAUGGCGGCAGCGGCGGCGGCGGCGGGCUGGUGAAGAACAUGAGCCUGCUGCGGCUGCAGUACUACUGCGUGCUGGGGGCGGUGGCCGGGGCCGUCCUGUUCGCGACGCUCCGCUACAUGCCGGCCGCCGGCAGCGGCGCGGCCCUCUCCACCACCUCCGCGCUCGCCACCGCCGCGGCGCCCGCCGGGGCCGGGGCGGGCGAGCACAGGAAGAUCAAGGGGACGGCACCGGCGCCCACGAAGGCGGCCGCGAAGGUGGUGACGAAGCCCAAGGAGGUGGUGGUGUUCAAUUUCGGCGACUCCAACUCUGACACGGGCGGGGUGGCGGCGAUAAUGGGGAUCCGCAUCGCGGCGCCGGAGGGGCGCGCCUACUUCCACCACCCCACCGGGCGGCUCUCCGACGGCCGCGUCGUCCUCGACUUCAUCUGUGAGACCUUAAACACGCACCACCUGAGCCCCUACAUGAAGCCGCUGGGUUCUGACUACAGCAACGGCGUUAACUUUGCCAUCGCCGGAGCGACUGCGACGCCAGGGGACACGCCGUUCUCACUUGACGUGCAGAUCGAUCAGUUCAUCUUCUACAGGGACAGAUGCAACGACUCCAUCACAAGAGAUGAGCCCGCCCCACUCAACAUGCUAGAUUUCGAAAGAGCUCUGUACACCAUGGACAUUGGGCAGAACGACAUCACUUCCAUUCUCUACCUGCCCUACGACGAAGUGCUCGCAAAGCUUCCCCACUUUGUUGCCGAAAUUAGGAAAGCCAUCGAGAUUUUGCAUAAGAACGGGGCGAGGAAGUUCUGGAUACACGGGACAGGUGCGCUGGGAUGCCUGCCGGCGAAGCUCGCGAUGCCGAGGGCCAGCGACGGCGACCUCGACGAGCACGGGUGCAUCGCCAAGUUCAACAACGCCGCCAAGAGGUUCAACACGUUGCUGAGCGAGGCCUGCGACGACCUGCGGUUGCUGCUGAAGAAAUCGUCCAUCAUCUUCGUGGACAUGUUCGCGAUCAAGUAUGAUCUCGUCGCCAACCACACCAAACAUGGGAUUGAGAAGCCAUUGAUGACAUGCUGCGGCCACGGAGGCCCCCCUUACAACUACGACCCCAAGAGGAGCUGCAUGGGCGACAGCAAGGACCUGUGCAAGCUUGGCGACAAGUUCAUCAGCUGGGACGGGGUCCAUUUCACCGACGCCGCAAACAGCAUCGUUGCCUCCAUGGCGAUCAGCGGCGAAUACUCCGUUCCUAGGAUGAAGCUCACCAGCUUGGUCAAGCCUGCAAAGGCCAAGGCUUCGUAA